Molecule: ribosomal RNA, 485 nt
Filed under: uncultured bacterium
Lineage: Bacteria
Description: bacterial SSU rRNA
Rfam family: Bacterial small subunit ribosomal RNA
Source: RNAcentral
AUUGAACGCUGGCGGCAGGCCUAACACAUGCAAGUCGAGCGCGAAAACACUUACGGUGUGAGUAGAGCGGCGGACGGGUGAGUAACGCGUAGGAAUCUACCUAGUAGUCGGGGGACAACUCGGGGAAACUCGAGCUAAUACCGCAUAAGCCCUACCGGGGGAAAGCGGGGGAACCUUCGGGCCUCGCGCUAUUAGAUGAGCCUGCGUUGGAUUAGCUAGUUGGUGGGGUAAAGGCCCACCAAGGCGACGAUCCAUAGCUGGUCUGAGAGGAUGAUCAGCCACACCGGGACUGAGACACGGCCCGGACUCCUACGGGAGGCAGCAGUGGGGAAUAUUGCGCAAUGGGCGGAAGCCUGACGCAGCCAUGCCGCGUGUGUGAAGAAGGCCUUAGGGUUGUAAAGCACUUUCAAUUGGGAGGAAAAGCUAACGACUAAUACUCGUUAGCCUUGACGUUACCUUUAGAAGAAGCACCGGCUAACUCCGUG